RNAcentral lists this ribosomal RNA (452 nucleotides) under uncultured Alphaproteobacteria bacterium. RNAcentral describes it as "bacterial SSU rRNA". It matches the Rfam family "Bacterial small subunit ribosomal RNA", at positions 1077 to 1533 of the family's 1533-position model. The record is from RNAcentral. Lineage: Bacteria; Pseudomonadati; Pseudomonadota; Alphaproteobacteria.
UGGGUAGUCCGCACGAGCGCACCUUAUCGUUAGUUACUAACAGUUCGGCUGAGGACUCUAGCGAAACUGCCGGUGAUAAGCCGGAGGAAGGUGGGGAUGACGUCAAGUCCUCAUGGCCCUUACACGCUGGGCUACACACGUGCUACAAUGGUAACUACAACGGGACGCAAUACCGCGAGGUGGAGCAAAUCCCCAAAAGUUAUCUCAGUUCGGAUUGCACUCUGCAACUCGAGUGCAUGAAGUUGGAAUUGCUAGUAAUCGCGGAUCAGCAUGCCGCGGUGAGUACGUUCCCGGGUCUUGUACACACCGCCCGUCACACCAUGAGAGUUGGUUUUAUCUUAAGUCAGUGCGCUAACCUUCGGGAGGCAGCUGCCCACGGUACGGCCAGCGAUUGGGGUGAAGUCGUAACAAGGUAGCCGUAGGGGAACCUGCGGCUGGAUCACCUCCUUUCU